GGAAAGAAAGGUCCUUCCUCCGUGAGUGGUAGCGUCUGUCGAAUAAAGCGUAGGCAACCUAGGUUUGAGGGUUGGCCGACAGGCUGUUGCUAUUUCCAAAUGGCGUAGCGUUGGUGGACCGAACGACCCUGUGGCGAAAGUGGCCCUGCGGAUAAGAAAUACAUGCAUACUUGCUCGUAAUUCAUAGGUUUCCUUGAGGUCUCUGCAGUGGCCUGAGUCGAAGCAACAUCGGUGGUGGCUUACCUCCGUCUGGCGCGGCUACUUCACAACACUGGCAAAUUUGAGGUGCAGAUGGAAGUGUGCCCUGUUUGUAAGAAUGGAGGCUUUUUGCUGCCCGAUAGUAGCCCCAUAUGAACAAAGGUCUACAUAUGCUGGUACAACCUGCUUGAUGUAUAACGGAACACAGUGUCAUUCUUACCUCAUUACCCGGGCCAACAAGCUGAUGGUGUGAUGCUCCCCAGCAUCCUCUUCAGUCGCGUCGUAAGCAUGCAGCAUCGCAACGGUCUCAUUUGCCGAAUCCUUCGUGUUUACAGAUUGACGAUGUAGCAGAGGACACAGCAAACAUGAUUGCGCUAGCGUGAUGAUGAUGAUGAUGCUGCGGGCAACGGCUGCGAGGACAGUCUCGGUGGUCCCGACGCUUGCCUGAGAACUUAGCCUCUUGUGACGGUUACGUAUGGUUGACGUCAUUUCCUGUCUGAGAGGAAUCCUUGGGCUGCCAACGGCCUACCCGAAAAGCGAAAAUCGAAGAGGCUUACUGUUCGGUUCCCCUCCCUGAUAUGGCCCUUGAGGUGCUGUACAGGAUAAUCUGCUGAUAUUUCUGGCAGAAAUCACCAGGCGUCCAUGACUCCUGCAGUGGCCUUUGGGAGAAAGCACUGACACCUGUGUUUUAAAUACCUCGGGACAUUUUUGAACUUGUCAUCUGGCAGCUAACCAGCAGAGAUUUUUAAAUACCUCGGGACAUUUUUGCACUUGUCAUCUGGCGGCUAACCAGCAGAGAUUUUCUUGUCAUUGUUGAAUGCUCUUUGCAAGCCUGUAGCUGUUUCUCAACUUGAAUGUGGUGCUACAUUCACAUCAUUGCGUAAUUGUUCGGUGAACAUGAUAGAUUAAAAGGCUCAGUUCUUUUCUUUAAGGAAAAAAAAUUCACUUAUGGUUUUGGUUUGCAAUAGUGCAGCACCUUUGCAGUGUUGCUAUUUAGUCUCACACUUUCUCCUACUUCCCACACAUGCGAGACCCUGCGUAUAAACCUACCAUCAUAUGACUGUUGAAAUUUGCUAUAUGCAUUAAUGCUAGGCCAUGUUUAUGCUGUGGGCACUAUACUAAGUUUGUGAGGAGGGCAAGAGUAAAUAAAAACAGUUGAGAGUCACUGGCUGAACCUUGAUGAAAAAUAUCGUCUCAACAGAACUGCAUCAAGGUAUGUUUUCGUUACAGUGUCUGGUAGAGAUCACGAUUAAUUAGUUUAGCGCGUAACACAGUGCCCAUGCAUGAAUUGCUAGCACAUCUUUCUUUCGGCACAUGAUAUGUAGGGUACUGGCACUGGUUACCCUUUGAAGGGGCAGACAUCUAAACGCUGUUAUACUUUUGUAGCAUUUUUAGUUUGCCUACUUGUUUCUAAUGUCCUUAGAAGUUUGUCUUCACUACAAAUGCUAUGUUACGCUUUUUCAAUCCAUUGCACCAACACUGGCUUGCAAUUUCUAUGUUCCCCAAUUUUAUGCCGUCUUUGGCGGACUGAUGCAUAGUUGUCUUGAGCAUACAUUUGUAGAUUAUACUAAAAUGGGGGCCUAGCUCUUCAUUUGGCCCACUCUGGGGCAUUUAUAAAUGAAAAUCCAUACACCACUGUCACCAUCGCCUUUCAGCAUGGUCAAGGAGACUAUGUAUGUGGUUGCUAUGGUUAGGGCUGUACACGGUGGGCACUGGCAGGCAACCUUGUAGUCUCAAUUGCGCGUCAAGCAUGGCCAGGCUUUUGCUGCUGCGUUCACAAAAGGCCUCGGACAGUGUCACACUGUGUUUGUGGACUAGUUUAACUAAACAGAAGGUAACACAUUUUCUCACCUGCUACCAUGCUUUGCUGGAAAUGUUAGUGUUUACUUUAUUUCAUUUCAUUGAUUUUUCUCGCUAACAAGGUUAGAAAAAAAAAAUGAGGCCGGCAAAGAAAUGUUAACGAAAAUGUACGUGCUACAGUGCGUUUCAUAGACACUGCCGUGUGAAGCAGAUGACAGCAUUCAAAGAUUCAUGCUGCCCACCCUGGAACGCCAAAGCAGACGAUAUAGGCAGGGGAAAGUGACUGCAGUGCCACUAAGUUUUCAGGGUUUUUCGCAUCGACCUCACCACUUGCCCCUGGCUCCAGUGGGCCCGCUUCUCGGAUCUAGUACAAUCGAUAUGUGUUAGUAGCAGUGCUAUCUGUUACGUGCUAUGCCGGUUGGAUUAUCCUUAGUACAUCGGUCUAGUACUAGCCUGCAACACAACGUAUAUGCCGCUUCUAUUUUUGUUGCAGAGUUCAAACAGCCAGUCAACAUGCAUUGCUUUAUAUGCGAAUAUGUGAACUGGUGCAUUCACAGGGCUAGUAUUGAUUCUCAAGUAUGGAAAAAGGGACUGUCAAACAUUUUGUCAUAUUUUUUUCACAACUGCAGACAAAAAAAGUAUCCGUGCACCACCCUCAUUAUGUUUCCAUAGGCUAAGAAUCUUUGGACAUGAAAUGUGCUCAAUUUUAUUUGGUUGUGGUAGUUUAAAAUGAUGGAUGUGGUUUGUGUACUUGUCAAGUUCUAUCAGAGAACAAACUGUUAAUAAACUUGUGGACAGUUUUAUGAAAA
This is a long non-coding RNA of Rhipicephalus microplus (southern cattle tick), 2807 nucleotides long. RefSeq lists it as uncharacterized. The record is from RefSeq and is a predicted model, not a curated record. Lineage: Eukaryota; Metazoa; Arthropoda; Arachnida; Ixodida; Ixodidae.